GACGAACGCUGGCGGCGUGCCUAAUACAUGCAGGUAGAACGCACAGUUUAUACCGUAGCUUGCUACACCAUAGACUGUGAGUUGCGAACGGGUGAGUAACGCGUAGGUAACCUGCCUGGUAGCGGGGGAUAACUAUUGGAAACGAUAGCUAAUACCGCACAAUAUUAAUUAUUGCAUGAUAAUUGAUUGAAAGAUGCAACUGCAUCACUACCAGAUGGACCUGCGUUGUAUUAGCUAGUAGGUGAGGUAACGGCUCACCUAGGCGACGAUACAUAGCCGACCUGAGAGGGUGAUCGGCCACACUGGGACUGAGACACGGCCCAGACUCCUACGGGAGGCAGCAGUAGGGAAUCUUCGGCAAUGGACGAAAGUCUGACCGAGCAACGCCGCGUGAGUGAAGAAGGUUUUCGGAUCGUAAAGCUCUGUUGUAAGAGAAGAACGGGUGUGAGAGUGGAAAGUUCACACUGUGACGGUAUCUUACCAGAAAGGGACGGCUAACUACGUG
Molecule: ribosomal RNA, 505 nt
Filed under: uncultured bacterium
Lineage: Bacteria
Description: partial 16S ribosomal RNA
Rfam family: Bacterial small subunit ribosomal RNA
Source: RNAcentral